AUCAUAUGCAUGUUCAAGUUACCUUCAGCCCCCAUCAAAUUGCAAGCUAAGAACUCUUGCAAAGAAAAUGAGGCAUAACCAAGUAAUUAAAAAAUUAUUUAUCCCAAUACAAUCUUUAAAUGCAUGGUUUACAUGAUGAUCCAAAACUGAGCUAAGAGAAAAGAAAUAGCACAAAAGUAAAAUAAAAAAAAAAUUACUUAAAAUCCAAUUAUGUUGUCGAUUCAAUCAACAACCUAAUGCUAAAGUAUGGAUUUGAAUAUUGCCAUCUUAAAACCCAUACACAAGUUAAAACCUAUCAUUGAAAGUUGCAAAAGUUUCAACUCGAUUUUGAUUCUCAAAAAUUCCUUAAUGCUCUGCAUACCCUUUAGGGAAGUCCUCCCACGCUUAUGCUGCAUCAUACUAGCACUUUGUGCAGCUCUUAGGAGAAAAUCAGCA
RNAcentral lists this unclassified non-coding RNA (435 nucleotides) under Hevea brasiliensis (rubber tree). The record is from RNAcentral. Lineage: Eukaryota; Viridiplantae; Streptophyta; Magnoliopsida; Malpighiales; Euphorbiaceae.